This 79-nucleotide transfer RNA is filed under the name Alcanivorax sp. Its description in RNAcentral is "tRNA-Arg". The stretch from base 10 to 68 matches the Rfam family "tRNA", at positions 8 to 63 of the family's 71-position model. Rfam says of the family: Transfer RNA (tRNA) molecules are approximately 80 nucleotides in length. Their secondary structure includes four short double-helical elements and three loops (D, anti-codon, and T loops). The record is from RNAcentral. Lineage: Bacteria; Pseudomonadati; Pseudomonadota; Gammaproteobacteria; Oceanospirillales; Alcanivoracaceae.
GCAACGCCAUGAUAAAUAAGGCCAAUAUAACUGGCUACGAACCAGUAGGUCGGGGGUUCGAAUCCUCCCCGGUGCGCCA